Molecule: transfer RNA, 70 nt
Filed under: Diaphorina citri (Asian citrus psyllid)
Lineage: Eukaryota; Metazoa; Arthropoda; Insecta; Hemiptera; Psyllidae
Rfam family: tRNA
About the family: Transfer RNA (tRNA) molecules are approximately 80 nucleotides in length. Their secondary structure includes four short double-helical elements and three loops (D, anti-codon, and T loops).
Source: Rfam by way of RNAcentral
GCUCCCAUGGCGUAGUGGUCACUGCGCUCGCCUUGCACGCGGGAGACCCGGGUUCGAUUCCCCGAGAGCG